AGUGGCGAACGGGUGAGUAACACAUCGGAACGUGUCCAGUUGUGGGGGAUAACCAGUCGAAAGACGGGCUAAUACCGCAUGAUGGCGACCAAAGCGGCGCGAUUGGAGCGGCCGAUGUCCGAUUAGCUAGUUGGUGGGGUAAAGGCCUACCAAGGCGACGAUCGGUAGCUGGUCUGAGAGGAUGAUCAGGCGCACUGGGACUGAUACACGGCCCAGACUCCUACGGGAGGCAGCAGUGGGGAAUUUUGGACAAUGGGGGCAACCCUGAUCCAGCCAUGCCGCGUGAGUGAAGAAGGCCUUCGGGUUGUAAAGCUCUUUCGGUGGGAACGAAUGACGGUACUCACAGAAGAAGCACCGGCUAACUACGUGCCAGCAGCCGCGGUAAUACGUAGGGUGCGAGCGUUAAUCGGAAUUACUGGGCGUAAAGCGUGCGCAGGCGGUUACUUAAGUCAGGUGUGAAAGCCCUGGGCUUAACCUAGGAAUUGCGCUUGAGAC
RNAcentral lists this ribosomal RNA (495 nucleotides) under uncultured soil bacterium. RNAcentral's name for it is "bacterial SSU rRNA". It matches the Rfam family "Bacterial small subunit ribosomal RNA", at positions 94 to 633 of the family's 1533-position model. The record is from RNAcentral.